GGGGGAAAAAUUAAUAAUUUAAAAAUAUGAAAAAAAAUUUUAAUAUAAAAUAUUUAAUGGGGGUUAAAGUAUAUUUAUAGAAAAAAUUAUAAAAUUUAUAGAGAAAUAGUAUUGUGGAAGAAAUUUGAAAAUAUUGAAAUAAUAAUUUAUAUAAAAGUAAAUUUAAUUUAUUGUAUCUUGUGUAUCAGAGUUUAUUAAAAAAAAUAAUUUAGUUUAAUUUAUUUCGAAUUUCAAAGAGUUAAUUAAUUAAAAAAGUUAAUAUUGCAUAAUUAUUUUUAAUAAUUAAUUGGAAAUGAAAAGUUAAUCGUUUUGAAAUAUAUCUAAUUUUUUUAGAAAAAAAUUUAAUUUUAAAUUAAUUUUUUUAAUAAAUUAAUUAAUUAAUUUAUUAAAAAUUUAAUUUUAUAUUUUAAGGGAUAAGCUUUAAAUUAAAUUUUUAUAAUAAAAAUAAAAUAAUUGAAAUUUUUAAGAUUUAUAUUUUUUAUAAAUUAUAAUUUUUUAUAAAUAAUUUCAUUUAAUUAAAAUUUUUUUUUAAUUUAAUUUUUUAUAAAAAAAUAUUUUUUAAUAAAUAAAAAAUAGUUAUAAUGAUAAAAUUAGUAUAUAAUUAAUAAAUAAAUUAAAAAUUAUUAAAAUUAAUAAAAAGGAAUUCGGCAAAAAU
RNAcentral lists this ribosomal RNA (655 nucleotides) under Pontia beckerii (sagebrush white). Its description in RNAcentral is "partial 16S ribosomal RNA". The record is from RNAcentral. Lineage: Eukaryota; Metazoa; Arthropoda; Insecta; Lepidoptera; Pieridae.